UCUGCAUGUCUGGAAAACGCUUGGAUUUAGUUCCUGUCUCCGCCUCCCAAAAUGUCUAGUGUAUUCGGAUUGGUCAGAUGACUACUCAACUGUUAUUGGUCAACUGGGUUCGGCGUGUGUUUGAAAGGUUACGCCCCUGACUACGCGUGGGUUUUCCGGUUCUGACUGAGAGUCACAGGCAACGUAAACAAGCGCUAUAUUUCUCUAUAAACGAUGGUGUCUGUACUGCCUUACCACUUCGAGCUCGAUCCAGAGAGUUCAGAAGGCCGUUACAAUAUAAACGAUCUCCGUCAAUGAACGCGAUUGGAUUUAACUUUUUUAGGUGUCCUUAGCUCUGCCAGAAUGCUAAACGAAGACGAAAAUGUGUUGCAAAGACAUCCAAAAGGUUUUAAGGAGAAUGCAACAGGUUCCAGGGCUUCUUACCUGCGUGAUUCAUCAUCCAGGUUUUGCACAAAUUGUCUAAAUCCCUACACACAGAACAUUUAUUGUACCGACUAUAAGCCUUUGAGGUGCAGGACUAGAAUACGCUUGGAGCUUCCUGAUCAGAUCGGUCACAAUUUUGGCUUUCGACGACCCCUGCACUGAAGAUGGCAUGCAAUCACGUCCUCCUUUGAAGGUCUCUCAAACUGUGAUGCCAGGUCCAUUGGAAUCAGGGCUUCCUUCAGCUUAUCUUCAAAUACCUCAUCAAAUACAAGCCUGAUCACAUCAUCC
Molecule: non-coding RNA, 711 nt
Organism: Paramisgurnus dabryanus
Lineage: Eukaryota; Metazoa; Chordata; Actinopteri; Cypriniformes; Cobitidae
Source: RefSeq, a predicted model, not a curated record